CAGUCGCCGCGGUAAUACGGAGGGUGCAAGCGUUAUCCGGAUUUAUUGGGUUUAAAGGGUCCGUAGGCGGAUCUGUAAGUCAGUGGUGAAAUCUCACAGCUUAACUGUGAAACUGCCAUUGAUACUGCAGGUCUUGAGUAAAUUUGAAGUGGCUGGAAUAAGUAGUGUAGCGGUGAAAUGCAUAGAUAUUACUUAGAACACCAAUUGCGAAGGCAGGUCACUAAGAUUUAACUGACGCUGAUGGACGAAAGCGUGGGGAGCGAACAGGAUUAGAUACCCCGUAGUCCCUGUCUCUUAUACC
This 301-nucleotide ribosomal RNA is filed under the name uncultured bacterium. RNAcentral's name for it is "partial 16S ribosomal RNA". It matches the Rfam family "Bacterial small subunit ribosomal RNA", at positions 509 to 808 of the family's 1533-position model. The record is from RNAcentral.